GCUACAGGCUUAACACAUGCAAGUCGAGGGGCAGCAUGGUCUUAGCUUGCUAAGGCCGAUGGCGACCGGCGCACGGGUGAGUAACACGUAUCCAAUCUGCCGUCUACUCUUGGACAGCCUUCUGAAAGGAAGAUUAAUACAAGAUGGCAUCAUGAGUCCGCAUGUUCACAUGAUUAAAGGUAUUCCGGUAGACGAUGGGGAUGCGUUCCAUUAGAUAGUAGGCGGGGUAACGGCCCACCUAGUCUUCGAUGGAUAGGGGUUCUGAGAGGAAGGUCCCCCACAUUGGAACUGAGACACGGUCCAAACUCCUACGGGAGGCAGCAGUGAGGAAUAUUGGUCAAUGGGCGAGAGCCUGAACCAGCCAAGUAGCGUGAAGGAUGACUGCCCUAUGGGUUGUAAACUUCUUUUAUAAAGGAAUAAAGUCGGGUAUGCAUACCCGUUUGCAUGUACUUUAUGAAUAAGGAUCGGCUAACUCCGUGCCAGCAGCCGCGGUAAUACGGAGGAUCCGAGCGUUAUCCGGAUUUAUUGGGUUUAAAGGGAGCGUAGAUGGAUGUUUAAGUCAGUUGUGAAAGUUUGCGGCUCAACCGUAAAAUUGCAGUUGGUACUGGAUAUCUUGAGUGCAGUUGAGGCAGGCGGAAUUCGUGGUGUAGCGGUGAAAUGCUUAGAUAUCACGAAGAACUCCGAUUGCGAAGGCAGCCUGCUAAGCUGCAACUGACAUUGAGGCUCGAAAGUGUGGGUAUCAAACAGGAUUAGAUACCCUGGUAGUCCACACGGUAAACGAUGAAUACUCGCUGUUUGCGAUAUACAGCAAGCGGCCAAGCGAAAGCGUUAAGUAUUCCACCUGGGGAGUACGCCGGCAACGGUGAAACUCAAAGGAAUUGACGGGGGCCCGCACAAGCGGAGGAACAUGUGGUUUAAUUCGAUGAUACGCGAGGAACCUUACCCGGGCUUAAAUUGCAGAUGAAUUACGGUGAAAGCCGUAAGCCGCAAGGCAUCUGUGAAGGUGCUGCAUGGUUGUCGUCAGCUCGUGCCGUGAGGUGUCGGCUUAAGUGCCAUAACGAGCGCAACCCUUGUUGUCAGUUACUAACAGGUUCCGCUGAGGACUCUGACAAGACUGCCAUCGUAAGAUGUGAGGAAGGUGGGGAUGACGUCAAAUCAGCACGGCCCUUACGUCCGGGGCUACACACGUGUUACAAUGGGGGGUACAGAGGGCCGCUACCACGCGAGUGGAUGCCAAUCCCAAAAACCUCUCUCAGUUCGGACUGGAGUCUGCAACCCGACUCCACGAAGCUGGAUUCGCUAGUAAUCGCGCAUCAGCCACGGCGCGGUGAAUACGUUCCCGGGCCUUGUACACACCGCCCGUCAAGCCAUGGGAGCCGGGGGUACCUGAAGUGCGUAACCGCGAGGAGCGCCCUAGGGUAAAACUGGUGACUGGGGCUAA
RNAcentral lists this ribosomal RNA (1441 nucleotides) under uncultured organism. RNAcentral describes it as "SSU rRNA". It matches the Rfam family "Bacterial small subunit ribosomal RNA". The record is from RNAcentral.